This is a long non-coding RNA of Cyprinus carpio carpio, 1504 nucleotides long. The record is from Ensembl. NCBI's taxonomy places the organism in Eukaryota, Metazoa, Chordata, Actinopteri, Cypriniformes, Cyprinidae.
CUUGAACUUCUCACUGAGUUGGUAUUUGAAUGUUAGCUUAACUUCAAGUUCAAAACAUACUUUAUUCGUUUUUUGGAACACUCUGUGGAUACUAAUAAGAAUGUCAAAAAGAAAGCAGCCAAACCUCAGUCAAUUUGGAUUUACAAAACAAACGAAGAGGAGUGAUGACAGCGCACCAGCUACAACUAGCUUGCCGGUGAUAACGCCGCCGCCGCUAAAAGUUGCUGCUAGUGACAGCACCAGCACAGAGGAUAGCGAGACUUUGGCGCCAGAAACCACCGCUGCGACCUGCAGCGGACCAGGCGAUCAUGAUCAUGCAACACCUUUCAACUGGACAACGAAGCAAUGGAGUGAGUGGAGAAUUCUUUUCUGCCGUGGAUUCUACUGACAGCAAGUAUCGCAACAAGUUGCGUGAACAAUGCCUCUGCUCGCUUCUCUUCGUGGAUCUGAAUGGACCCCCUUUGGAGCAAUUUGACCCUCUGCCUUUUGUAUCAUCUUGGAUUAAAGCCGGUCACCGACCCUCAACAUCCUGGGUUACAGGACGGAAAGCAAAGACAGAAGACCCCAGGCUUCUGUGGUCACUUCUGAUUUAAGGUGGUGGAGGAGCGUGAGGCAGAGAUGGAGAGCCCAUGAGCCAGGGUGACGAGGAGGAUCCGGAGGGCCAAGGCGGAGCAGAUGGCUCAGGCAACCGAGGCAGAGGCUGGGAUCCAGAAGGCCGUGGCGGAGCUGGAGCGACAGAGGACCAUGGAGGAGCCGAUGGGAAGCUGGUGUGUGGUGAGCAAACUGGCGCCGUUGUACUGUGGCUGUCAUCGUAUCAUCCAGUUGGAUUCUGCACACUGGUGGUGAUUGAGGAGAGACCCCCCCCCACAUGACUGUAAACUACUUUGGGAGUACAACAAUACAAAUAAAGUGCUAUAUAAAUGCAUCAUUUAUUCAUUCAACACCAUAUACCACCAUACUUCCCCAGUUGGUUAAUCACAGAACUUUAAGACAUUUUUUGGUAACACCUUAGAAUAAUGAACACAUAUUGAUUAUUAACUAAGAGUUUUCCCUGAACAAACUCCGAAAUUUUGGUCUAUGUAAGUGCUGCUUAAGUGUGAAUUUCUGGCUUAGUUCAGUUGAUAAUAGCCUUAAUAAAUACAGUAUGUAUUGUAAUUGAAAAUGCAUAUAGAUAAAGUAGGGCUGGACGAUAUGACCUAAAAUCAAAAUAUUGAUUAACUGAACAAUCUACCUUGAUCUAAAUGAAUGAACAAUUAUUUAUUUGUUUGUUUGUUUGUUUACUUAUUUAUCUAUGCCUUCAUAGUUUACUGGCAAGGUUACUGUACUGUAAAUAUGCUAUUAACUAUUAAAGGUGUGAUUUGUUUUUCUAAUGAAUGAGUGUAUUUCUUGUCUUUGUGAUUCAAAAUAAUUUAAGGAUGCACAAACUAUGGUUAUUCAUUGAAUAUUUCGAACAAAUGAAAUCAAAGCACACAUUUCUUGAAAUUAAAAUGUUUUAUGAAAUGUC